Molecule: ribosomal RNA, 498 nt
Filed under: uncultured bacterium
Lineage: Bacteria
Description: partial 16S ribosomal RNA
Rfam family: Bacterial small subunit ribosomal RNA
Source: RNAcentral
GACGAACGCUGGCGGCGUGCCUAAUACAUGCAAGUCGAACGAGAGCGACCGGUGCUUGCACUGGUCAAUCUAGUGGCGAACGGGUGAGUAACACGUGGGUAACCUGCCCAUCAGAGGGGGAUAACAUCCGGAAACGGAUGCUAAAACCGCAUAGGUCUUCGAACCGCAUGGUUUGAAGAGGAAAAGAGGCGCAAGCUUCUGCUGAUGGAUGGACCCGCGGUGCAUUAGCUAGUUGGUGAGGUAACGGCUCACCAAGGCCGUGAUGCAUAGCCGACCUGAGAGGGUGAUCGGCCACAUUAGGACUGAGACACGGCCCAAACUCCUACGGGAGGCAGCAGUAGGGAAUCUUCCGCAAUGGACGCAAGUCUGACGGAGCAACGCCGCGUGAGUGAAGAAGGUUUUCGGAUCGUAAAACUCUGUUGUUAGAGAAGAACAAGUGCUAGAGUAACUGUUAGCGCCUUGACGGUAUCUAACCAGAAAGCCACGGCUAACUACGUG